RNAcentral lists this ribosomal RNA (460 nucleotides) under uncultured bacterium. RNAcentral describes it as "partial 16S ribosomal RNA". It matches the Rfam family "Bacterial small subunit ribosomal RNA", at positions 338 to 795 of the family's 1533-position model. The record is from RNAcentral.
CCUACGGGAGGCAGCAGUGAGGAAUAUUGGUCAAUGGGCUUACGCCUGAACCAGCCAAGUCGCGUGAGGGAAGACUGCCCUAUGGGUUGUAAACCUCUUUUGUCAGGGAGCAAUUGGCGCUACGUGUAGCGUUAUCGAGAGUACCUGAAGAAAAAGCAUCGGCUAACUCCGUGGCAGCAGCCGCGGUAAUACGGAGGAUGCGAGCGUUAUCCGGAUUUAUUGGGUUUAAAGGGUGCGUAGGCGGAAUGCCAAGUCAGCGGUAAAAUCGCGGGGCUCAACCUCGCUCCGCCGUUGAAACUGGCGUUCUUGAGUGGGCGAGAAGUAUGCGGAAUGCGUGGUGUAGCGGUGAAAUGCAUAGAUAUCACGCAGAACUCCGAUUGCGAAGGCAGCAUACCGGCGCCCAACUGACGCUGAAGCACGAAAGCGUGGGUAUCGAACAGGAUUAGAUACCCUGGUAGUC